This 270-nucleotide long non-coding RNA is filed under the name Sorghum bicolor (sorghum). RNAcentral describes it as "long non-coding RNA (SBIC_LNC013121)". Lineage: Eukaryota; Viridiplantae; Streptophyta; Magnoliopsida; Poales; Poaceae. The record is from RNAcentral.
CGGAAUUCUGGAUAUUCAACUCACCAACCUUGAACCCUUGACCUCUCACCAACCUAAAAGGCUUUGACAUUAUUGGGUAGGCUGUAUAUGAUCUUAGAUAACACUUGUGCUUUGAUACAGGGUAGAGCUAGAGUAAAUCUAGGGAGGCACUUGUCUUAUGUAUAUAAAGAUUUAUAAUUUAUGAGUGCAAAUAUGACAAAAGUUUAGCUUAUAUUAUUGCCCUUUUUAUUUUUGUGUGGGAGCGGCCGUACCCACUGCAAUUCACGUGGC